This is a long non-coding RNA of Lolium rigidum, 1074 nucleotides long. RefSeq lists it as uncharacterized. The transcript is spliced from 4 exons. The record is from RefSeq and is a predicted model, not a curated record. NCBI's taxonomy places the organism in Eukaryota, Viridiplantae, Streptophyta, Magnoliopsida, Poales, Poaceae.
CUCAAAUUGCAGCGGGUCAACUCUUUCCUUCUGGCUCUUUUUUUUAAUUAACCAAAACAACACAACCAUUCCAGGCCAUCUCCUUUUGCCAUUUCCUCCACGUCCAGCCCACAGGCCAUCAAGAGAAACGAUGUUCACCUUACCUUUUCGCUCACAGGAGACAGGCUUCCGUUCUUGUCAUCUUCCUCCGUUCCAGCACACACCACCACGCUGUUUUCCCCUCUCUUUUAAUCCCAAUCGAAGCCUCUUGCAAACCCUAACCUACUCCUUCCUCUAGCCGCCGCCGUUUCUCUCUUCCACCUCUGUAUCUUCAUCUCCAAGAACAGUUCCAGGGAACACAUUCAGUUUCGUCAGAGGAGCCGCCGGAGUUCGCCGUCCCUGCCGCCGGCAUGAGGGUCUUUGAAUCGAGCAAGCAGAGGAAAUGGAGAGCCCACGUCGUCCCCAUCAUCUCCGCUGAAGCCACGGCGCAAUAGCCGCCCGUAGUCAACACCACAGACCCCGCCGUCAACAUCUUUUCACAGACCUGUCGACGACAUCGUCGCUGCCGUUUUCUCGCUGGCCUCCCCAACCUCUCCCUCGACGUGCUCGCAGUCGUUCGUGCCGUCCAAGCCUCAGCCGUGUCGAGCUUGGUCGACCUUCGCCUGAUUUCCUUCAAAGGGCUGAGCCCCUUUCUCAGUUGUCAUUUGAUCUAGCGGCUGGCCUGCUCCAUCUGCACCGAAGAAUCCUGUCAUAGCUCAGAUUAUGUACGUUUGUACCACAUCAAUACCUGAACUGCAACAACGUGGUUUGAUCCAUGUCCUCUUCCCCAUACACGAGUUGAUCUCCUAUUCCCAACCAAAUAGUCAUUCUCUGUUUUGCUUUCCGUUCAGCCUGGAGUUACUUGAAGAAAUAGGCGUCAGCUACUAACCAAAAUCGUCACAGCAGCCCAGCUGGUUUGUUUCUGCCCUUGGCCCGGCAAACGAUGGUUCAGUUCCAAAAUCAGGCUAUUUCAAAGCCAAUCCUUUUCACAUAGUUUCUUCUAUCGCAUUUGCUUCUUCCCGGAUAGGAUCACGAAGUGGUGUGGUGAGAUACGAC